AGAGUUUGAUCCCUGGCUCAGGACGAACGCUGGCGGCGUGCUUAACACAUGCAAGUCGAACGAUGAUGCUGGGGCUUGCUUCAGCGGAUUAGUGGCGAACGGGUGAGUAACACGUGAGUAACCUGCCCUUGACUCUGGGAUAAGCGUUGGAAACGACGUCUAAUACCGGAUAUGACUUACGACCGCAUGGUUUGUGGGUGGAAAGAUUUUUUGGUCAGGGAUGGACUCGCGGCCUAUCAGGUUGUUGGUGGGGUAAUGGCUCACCAAGCCUACGACGGGUAGCCGGCCUGAGAGGGUGACCGGCCACACUGGGACUGAGACACGGCCCAGACUCCUACGGGAGGCAGCAGUGGGGAAUAUUGCACAAUGGGCGAAAGCCUGAUGCAGCAACGCCGCGUGAGGGAUGACGGCCUUCGGGUUGUAAACCUCUUUUAGUACAGAAGAAGCCAGCUUGCUGGUGACGGUAUGGCAGAAAAAG
Molecule: ribosomal RNA, 478 nt
Filed under: actinobacterium iMCIII14
Lineage: Bacteria; Bacillati; Actinomycetota; Actinomycetes
Description: bacterial SSU rRNA
Rfam family: Bacterial small subunit ribosomal RNA
Source: RNAcentral